This 447-nucleotide ribosomal RNA is filed under the name uncultured bacterium. RNAcentral describes it as "partial 16S ribosomal RNA". It matches the Rfam family "Bacterial small subunit ribosomal RNA", at positions 29 to 523 of the family's 1533-position model. The record is from RNAcentral.
AGCGAACGCUGGCGGCAGGCCUAACACAUGCAAGUCGAGCGCCCCGCAAGGGGAGCGGCAGACGGGAGAGUAACACGUGGGAACGUACCCUUCGGUUCGGAACAACCCAGGGAAACUUGGGCUAAUACCGGAUACGUCCGAAAGGAGAAAGAUUCAUCGCCGAGGGAUCGGCCCGCGUCUGAUUAGCUAGUUGGUGGGGUAACGGCCCACCAAGGCGACGAUCAGUAGCUGGUCUGAGAGGAUGAUCAGCCUCACUGGGACUGAGACACGGCCCAGACUCCUACGGGAGGCAGCAGUGGGGAAUAUUGGACAAUGGGCGCAAGCCUGAUCCAGCCAUGCCGCGUGGGUGAUGAAGGCCCUAGGGUUGUAAAGCCCUUUCGGCGGGGAAGAUAAUGACGGUACCCGCAGAAGAAGCCCCGGCUAACUUCGUGCCAGCCGCCGCCGUAA